CGUAACAAGGUUUCCGUAGGUGACCUGCGGAAGGAUCAUUA
Molecule: ribosomal RNA, 41 nt
Filed under: Scheffersomyces stipitis
Lineage: Eukaryota; Fungi; Ascomycota; Pichiomycetes; Serinales; Debaryomycetaceae
Description: partial 18S ribosomal RNA
Source: RNAcentral